RNAcentral lists this long non-coding RNA (428 nucleotides) under Carica papaya (papaya). RNAcentral's name for it is "long non-coding RNA (CPAP_LNC011221)". The record is from RNAcentral. Lineage: Eukaryota; Viridiplantae; Streptophyta; Magnoliopsida; Brassicales; Caricaceae.
UCACUUCCUAGAAAACCCAAACCCCAGCCACAUCUGACCCUGCCGGAUAAAAAAAAGAAGAGCGGCUGGAAAGAAAGUUGACCACCAUCGUCGCCGCACAAAAAUCGCCGCCAACACCAGGGAUGUGAGUUUUUUCCCUAUUUCGCUUCGAAAUUCAUUUCUAAGAACUCCCAAGCCCAUAUCGGCGCCGAAAAAAUAAAAGGGAAGCCAAAAAUCAAGAGCAGAGCUCGAUCGAGUCGUCGUACUUGCAACCCAAAACCACUCCAGUGGGCCCGAUCCUGCUUCCCAUUUCCUUCAAUUUUCUGACCAUUGUGUCCCUAACCCUUUUCUGGUACAGGGCCAACAAGGAAAAUCCUCGGCCGCGAGAGAAGAACGGCGGAGCCGCCGCACCAAAAAACUACCUCGCUAGAAAGGCUCCAUUUUUCUCU